UACGUAGGGACCAAGCGUUGUUCGGAUUUACUGGGCGUAAAGGGCGCGUAGGCGGCAAUUCAAGUCAGCUGUGAAAUCUCUGGGCUUAACCCAGAACGGCCAGCUGAUACUGCUUUGCUAGAGUGCAGAAGGGGCAAUCGGAAUUCUUGGUGUAGCGGUGAAAUGCGCAGAUAUCAGGAGGAACACCGGUGGCGAAGGCGGCUUGCUGGGCCUUACCUGACGCUGAGGAGCGAAAGCGUGGGGAGCGAACAGG
RNAcentral lists this ribosomal RNA (253 nucleotides) under uncultured bacterium. Its description in RNAcentral is "partial 16S ribosomal RNA". It matches the Rfam family "Bacterial small subunit ribosomal RNA", at positions 524 to 776 of the family's 1533-position model. The record is from RNAcentral.